RNAcentral lists this transfer RNA (73 nucleotides) under Camelus ferus (Wild Bactrian camel). It matches the Rfam family "tRNA". From Rfam's summary of the family: Transfer RNA (tRNA) molecules are approximately 80 nucleotides in length. Lineage: Eukaryota; Metazoa; Chordata; Mammalia; Artiodactyla; Camelidae. The record is from Rfam by way of RNAcentral.
AAAGAUAUAACCCAAGUGGUAGAGCACAUGGUUAGCACGCAUGAGGUCCUGGGUUCAAACCCCAGUACCUCUU